UACGUAGGGUGCGAGCGUUGUCCGGAAUUAUUGGGCGUAAAGAGCUCGUAGGCGGUGUGUCACGUCGGCCGUGAAAACCUGCAGCUUAACUGUGGGCGUGCGGUCGAUACGGGCAUCACUGGAGUUCGGCAGGGGAGACUGGAAUUCCUGGUGUAGCGGUGAAAUGCGCAGAUAUCAGGAGGAACACCGGUGGCGAAGGCGGGUCUCUGGGCCGAUACUGACGCUGAGGCGCGAAAGCUAGGGGAACGAACAGG
Molecule: ribosomal RNA, 254 nt
Filed under: uncultured bacterium
Lineage: Bacteria
Description: partial 16S ribosomal RNA
Rfam family: Bacterial small subunit ribosomal RNA
Source: RNAcentral